RNAcentral lists this small RNA (28 nucleotides) under Bombyx mori (domestic silkworm). RNAcentral describes it as "ovarian small RNA-21819". The record is from RNAcentral. Lineage: Eukaryota; Metazoa; Arthropoda; Insecta; Lepidoptera; Bombycidae.
UAGAAGUGCAUUACGGUUCCAUUCACAA